Molecule: ribosomal RNA, 780 nt
Filed under: uncultured bacterium
Lineage: Bacteria
Description: bacterial SSU rRNA
Rfam family: Bacterial small subunit ribosomal RNA
Source: RNAcentral
GCCCUUCACUACGGAAUAGCCUCUGGAAACGGAGAGUAAUACCGUAUGCGCCCUUCGGGGAAAGAUUUAUCGGUGAAGGAUUAGCCCGCGUCUGAUUAGAUAGUUGGUGGGGUAACGGCCUACCAAGUCGACGAUCAGUAGCUGGUUUGAGAGGAUGAUCAGCAACACUGGGACUGAGACACGGCCCAGACUCCUACGGGAGGCAGCAGUGGGGAAUCUUGCACAAUGGACGAAAGUCUGAUGCAGCAAUGCCGCGUGAGUGAAGAAGGCCUUCGGGUUGUAAACCUCUUUCGACAGGGAAGAAGGGUACUCUUGUUAAUAAUUAGAGUGCUGGACGGUACCUGUAUAAGAAGCACCGGCUAACUCCGUGCCAGCAGCCGCGGUAAUACGGAGGGUGCAAGCGUUGUUCGGAAUAACUGGGCGUAAAGCGCGCGCAGGGGGUUUGUAAGUCAUCUGUGAAAGCCCUGGGCUUAACCUAGGAAUUGCAGGUGAAACUACAAAUCUUGAAUACUGGAGAGGAUGGUGGAAUUCCUGGUGUAGAAGUGAAAUUCAUAGAUAUCAGGAGGAACACCCGAGGCGAAAGGGCCAUCUGGCAUGUAUUGACGCUGAGGCGCGAAAGUGGGUAGCAAACAGGAUUAGAUACCCUGGUAGUCCACGCCGUAAACGAUGGAUACUAGGUGUUCGGAGUAUUAACCCUCUGAGUACCGUAGUUCACGCAUUAAGUAUCCCGCCUGGGGAGUACGGUCGCAAGGCUAAAACUCAAAGGAUUGACGGGGGCCC